Molecule: long non-coding RNA, 1517 nt
Organism: Lutra lutra (Eurasian river otter)
Lineage: Eukaryota; Metazoa; Chordata; Mammalia; Carnivora; Mustelidae
Exons: 5
Source: RefSeq, a predicted model, not a curated record
ACCCUGGCUUUUAAACAAUCACUUGUAUUCUCUGCCCGGCAGGAAGCAGCAGGCCCAUCAAGGCUCUGGGCUCUGUCUUUGUUCUGACUUUAUGGCAUUUUAUGCCACAAUAAGAAACACUGUGUACUCCGUGGGAGCCCGUUGUGCUGGGCUGCAAGGAUGUGGGCUCCCGUGCAGAGGGCUGGUGCUCUGCCCCCGGGAGAAGAGGGGCUUUAUGACAGGCCCAAGGGCAAAACAAGGGGUGCCAGACACUGUUACUGGGGCAACUGCUGGCCAGUGUGGAGGCAGCCAUGGCUCCUGGGUCCCUGUCACCCGCAGGCUGGGAGGAGGGCAGGAGAAGGAUGGACUUUGUUCUAAGAAGCAGUCCCAGUCACUGGAUAAAUUCUACAUCAGGACUGUGCUAACCGCGGCCCCCAACCCUCUGGGCUGCUGAGCUGGCCUCAUCCUGCUUCGAGACUCGGUGCCAGGUGACCGCCUCUGUCUGUAAGCCAGCUCUCAUUCCUCGAAGAAACGCCAUCUGGUAUACAAGCUACAUCUUUGUCCUGGUGAUGACAGUGCCAUAGCCUACCCAAGUGACCACGAAGACCUCAACAGAUGGCACAUGUGAUCGCCAACCUGCAAGGUUUGGGGAAGUGCGGCCGGAUGGGCCCGCUCAGAGACUGACUCACCCUUCCUCUCGAAACUCGGCUGUAGUUGAGCCUCAUGAGUUCUGCAAACCUCUGCUCAUAGAGGUGAAGCAGCAGCACCAGCCACUUUUUCAGGCACUCCUGAUGAACAAACUGCAGGCUUCCCACACAACCGCAAGGCUCCAAGAGGGGGUUGGUUGGGGAACCCCCGGCUAUCUGACAGAUGCGACACAGGUCUCCCUCCUCCUCCGAGUCCUCCUCCAGGAGACUAAAUGGAAAACAAGCCCUGGUGACCGGGGGUCUGCACAGUUUCUACAGACUGCAACUACUACUACUACUUCCCAGGACGUUAAAGGGAGAGGCCCCGCCAGGGCUUCCCCAGGCUCCCCCACAGCUCCCUCUGACCCUACUGAAGAUUCUUCCCGGUGACUUAGAGCAGGUGCACGGACCCUUGUAUCGGACUCCUUGGCAGUUAGUGACACGUGUGAGCCGGCUGCCAGAACCAGCCUUGCCACCAGAAAUCUAGAGGCGGUGGAUGAGGCUACAGAGGAAGACCAUGGAAGAGGCUGGGAGCCCCUCUCCUAGUCGUGGCCACUGUGGAAGUUGGUGGUACGUCGUGUUGAUCCUGAAACCCUGGGUCAGAGGUGAGAAGAUCCCUGUGGGAUGUGAGCAGCCUGCCACCCGCAGACACCCAUCCAUCCCUCCUGGGCCAGGAAAGCAGCUUCUGCAUAAAGAAUGCUCAAAGGGCCCAGCAGUGGGGAAGGCAGUUAAGAGACUGGGCCCAGGUGGUCAGAGAAGAACUGGAUUUGGAACCUGGUUCUGGGACCUUGGAGCUGUGUGAGCUUGGGAAGAUCACUUCACCUCUUGAAGCCUCAGUUUCCCCACCUAGUA